UACGGGGGGGGCAAGCGUUGUUCGGAAUUACUGGGCGUAAAGGGCUCGUAGGUGGCCAACUAAGUCAGACGUGAAAUCCCUCAGCUUAACUGGGGAACUGCGUCUGAUACUGGAUGGCUUGAGUUUGGGAGAGGGACGCGGAAUUCCAGGUGUAGCGGUGAAAUGCGUAGAUAUCGAGAGGAACACCUGCGGCGAAGGCGGGUUGCUGGGCUGACACUGACGCUGAUGCGCGAAAGCCAGGGGAGCGAACGGG
This 253-nucleotide ribosomal RNA is filed under the name uncultured bacterium. RNAcentral describes it as "partial 16S ribosomal RNA". It matches the Rfam family "Bacterial small subunit ribosomal RNA", at positions 524 to 776 of the family's 1533-position model. The record is from RNAcentral.